GAACGCUGGCGGCGUGCCUAACACGAUGCAAGUCGAACGGGGUCGAGUUGUGGAAGGUCCUUCGGGGCGGAAGCUUUGACUUAGUGGCGAACGGGUGAGUAACGCGUGAGCAACCUGCCUUUCAGAGGGGGACAACGGUUGGAAACGACCGCUAAUACCGCAUGAAGCAGCGAAGGGGCAUCCCUUUGCUGCCAAAGAUUUUAUCGCUGAAAGAUGGGCUCGCGUCUGAUUAGGAUAGUUGGUGGGGUAACGGCCUACCAAGUCGACGAUCAGUAGCCGGACUGAGAGGUUGAACGGCCACAUUGGGACUGAGAUACGGCCCAGACUCCUACGGGAGGCAGCAGUGGGGAAUAUUGGGCAAUGGGGGAAACCCUGACCCAGCAACGCCGCGUGAAGGAAGAAGGCUUUCGGGUUGUAAACUUCUUUUACCAGGGACGAAGAAAAUGACGGUACCUGGAGAAUAAGCCACGGCUAACUACGUGCC
Molecule: ribosomal RNA, 484 nt
Filed under: uncultured bacterium
Lineage: Bacteria
Description: bacterial SSU rRNA
Rfam family: Bacterial small subunit ribosomal RNA
Source: RNAcentral